Molecule: long non-coding RNA, 415 nt
Organism: Austrofundulus limnaeus
Lineage: Eukaryota; Metazoa; Chordata; Actinopteri; Cyprinodontiformes; Rivulidae
Exons: 4
Source: RefSeq, a predicted model, not a curated record
GGCACUGUGUGAAAAAAAAAAAGGCGUUUCCUGAACAGUUUCGUUAAAGAAGAACAUCAUGACUUUAAAUAUAAUGUUUUUUUGGAUUGUAAAUCAUUAAGCAUAUUGAUGUCCAAGUGCAUGAAAAUACCUUUCAUUUUAGAGCCCAGGGGCGUGGUGCAAAAGGACAAAAUGAAUACGAGUUCAGCUUGGAGUUUCUUUUUCCAGUAAAGCCUGAGGUGAGAAACAAGUCCACGCAGCGGCAGGUAAACAUCACAGUGAGGAAACAACAGCGAGGCUGGUGGGAAAGGCUGACUGUACAGGAGCGUAAACCGGUCUUCCUGGCACCGGAUUUUGACCGCUGGCUGGAAGAGUCAGACGCCGAGAUGGAGAUAAAGCAAAAAGUGAGAUUAAAAUAAAGGUUUUUUUUUUUUUU